Molecule: ribosomal RNA, 221 nt
Filed under: uncultured bacterium
Lineage: Bacteria
Description: partial 16S ribosomal RNA
Rfam family: Bacterial small subunit ribosomal RNA
Source: RNAcentral
GGUUUAAUUCGAUGAUACGCGAGGAACCUUACCCGGGCUUAAAUUGCAGAUGAAUUACGGUGAAAGCCGUAAGCCGCAAGGCAUCUGUGAAGGUGCUGCAUGGUUGUCGUCAGCUCGUGCCGUGAGGUGUCGGCUUAAGUGCCAUAACGAGCGCAACCCUUGUUGUCAGUUACUAACAGGUUCCGCUGAGGACUCUGACAAGACUGCAUCGUAAGAUGUGA